UAGAGGCCUCCACCAGGAGCUCCCUGUUC
RNAcentral lists this small RNA (29 nucleotides) under Bombyx mori (domestic silkworm). RNAcentral's name for it is "ovarian small RNA-6284". Lineage: Eukaryota; Metazoa; Arthropoda; Insecta; Lepidoptera; Bombycidae. The record is from RNAcentral.